ACGGCGGAACACGUGAAAUUCCGUCGGAAUCCGGGAGGACCAUCUCCCAAGGCUAAAUACUCCCUAGUGACCGAUAGUGAACCAGUACCGUGAGGGAAAGGUGAAAAGCACCCCGGAAGGGGAGUGAAACAGUUCCUGAAACCGUGUGCCUACAAGUAGUUAGAGCCCGUUAAUGGGUGAUAGCGUGCCUUUUGUAGAAUGAACCGGCGAGUUACGAUUUGUUGCAAGGUUAAGCGGAAAAAGCGGAGCCGUAGCGAAAGCGAGUCUGAAUAGGGCGCAUAAGUAACAGGUCGUAGACCCGAAACCAGGUGAUCUACCCAUGUCCAGGAUGAAGGUAAGGUAAUACUUACUGGAGGUCCGAACCCACGCACGUUGAAAAGUGCGGGGAUGAGGUGUGGGUAGCGGAGAAAUUCCAAUCGAACUUGGAGAUAGCUGGUUCUCUCCGAAAUAGCUUUAGGGCUAGCCUCGAGGUAAAGAGUCAUGGAGGUAGAGCACUGUUUGGACUAGGGGCCCUUCUCGGGUUACCGAAUUCAGAUAAACUCCGAAUGCCAUGUACUUAUACUCGGGAGUCAGACUGCGAGUGAUAAGAUCCGUAGUCGAAAGGGAAACAGCCCAGACCACCAGUUAAGGUCCCCAAAUAUAUGUUAAGUGGAAAAGGAUGUGGGGUUGCUUAGACAACCAGGAUGUUGGCUUAGAAGCAGCCACCAUUGAAAGAGUGCGUAAUAGCUCACUGGUCGAGUGACCCCGCGCCGAAAAUGUACCGGGGCUAAACAUAUUACCGAAACUGUGGAUGAACCUCUUCGGAGGUUCGUGGUAGGAGAGCGUUCUAAGGGCGGUGAAGUCAGACCGGAAGGACUGGUGGAGCGCUUAGAAGUGAGAAUGCCGGUAUGAGUAGCGAAAGAAGGGUGAGAAUCCCUUCCACCGAAUAUCUAAGGUUUCCUGAGGAAGGCUCGUCCGCUCAGGGUUAGUCGGGACCUAAGCCGAGGCCGAUAGGCGUAGGCGAUGGACAACAGGUAGAGAUUCCUGUACCAGUGCUAAUUGUUUAACCGAUGGGGUGACACAGAAGGAUAGGGAAUCGCACGAAUGGAAAUGUGCGUCCAAGCAGUGAGUGUGAGAAGUAGGCAAAUCCGCUUCUCGCGAAGCAUGAGCUGUGAUGGGGAAGGAAAUUAAGUACGGAAGUUCCUGAUUUCACGCUGUCAAGAAAAGCCUCUAGGAAGAGUAGUACUGCCCGUACCGCAAACCGACACAGGUAGAUGAGGAGAGAAUCCUAAGGUGAGCGAGAGAACUCUCGUUAAGGAACUCGGCAAAAUGACCCCGUAACUUCGGGAGAAGGGGUGCUCUAUUAGGGUGCAAGCCCGAGAGAGCCGCAGUGAAUAGGCCCAGGCGACUGUUUAGCAAAAACACAGGUCUCUGCAAAACCGUAAGGUGACGUAUAGGGGCUGACGCCUGCCCGGUGCUGGAAGGUUAAGAGGAGUGCUUAGCUUCGGCGAAGGUACGAAUUGAAGCCCCAGUAAACGGCGGCCGUAACUAUAACGGUCCUAAGGUAGCGAAAUUCCUUGUCGGGUAAGUUCCGACCCGCACGAAAGGCGCAACGAUCUGGGCACUGUCUCAACGAGAGACUCGGUGAAAUUAUAGUACCUGUGAAGAUGCAGGUUACCCGCGACAGGACGGAAAGACCCCGUGGAGCUUUACUGCAACCUGAUAUGGAAUGUUUGUACCGCUUGUACAGGAUAGGUAGGAGCCGAAGAGACGUGUGCGCUAGCAUACGAGGAGGCAAUGGUGGGAUACUACCCUGGCUGUAUGACCAUUCUAACCCGCCACGCUUAGCGCGUGGGGAGACAGUGUCAGGUGGGCAGUUUGACUGGGGCGGUCGCCUCCUAAAGAGUAACGGAGGCGCCCAAAGGUUCCCUCAGAAUGGAUGGAAAUCAUUCGCAGAGUGUAAAGGCACAAGGGAGCUUGACUGCGAGACUGACAAGUCGAGCAGGGACGAAAGUCGGGCUUAGUGAUCCGGUGGUUCCGCAUGGAAGGGCCAUCGCUCAACGGAUAAAAGCUACCCCGGGGAUAACAGGCUUAUCUCCCCCAAGAGUCCACAUCGACGGGGAGGUUUGGCACCUCGAUGUCGGCUCGUCGCAUCCUGGGGCUGUAGUCGGUCCCAAGGGUUGGGCUGUUCGCCCAUUAAAGCGGCACGCGAGCUGGGUUCAGAACGUCGUGAGACAGUUCGGUCCCUAUCCGUCGCGGGCGCAGGAAAUUUGAGAGGAGCUGUCCUUAGUACGAGAGGACCGGGAUGGACACACCGCUGGUGUACCAGUUGUUCCGCCAGGAGCAUCGCUGGGUAGCUAUGUGUGGCAGGGAUAAACGCUGAAAGCAUCUAAGCGUGAAGCCCCCCUCAAGAUGAGAUUUCCCAUUUCUUCGGAAAGUAAGAUCCCUGAAAGAUGAUCAGGUAGAUAGGUUUGGAGUGGAAGUGUAGCGAUACAUGGAGCGGACAAAUACUAAUCGAUCGAGGACUUAACCAAAA
This 2515-nucleotide ribosomal RNA is filed under the name Listeria monocytogenes. RNAcentral describes it as "partial 23S ribosomal RNA". It matches the Rfam family "Bacterial large subunit ribosomal RNA", at positions 414 to 2925 of the family's 2925-position model. Lineage: Bacteria; Bacillati; Bacillota; Bacilli; Caryophanales; Listeriaceae. The record is from RNAcentral.